AGGACGAACGCUGGCGGCGUGCCUAACACAUGCAAGUCGAGCGGGGUUGAAGCGAGGGGUAACUCGAGUUUCUACCUAGCGGCGGACGGGUGAGUAACGCGUGGGCAACCUGCCUCAAGGACUGGGAUAACAGCUCGAAAGGGCUGCUAAUACCGGAUAAGCCUAUGGCCUCGCAUGGGGCCAUGAGCAAAGGGGAAACCCGCCUUGAGAUGGGCCCGCGUCCCAUCAGCUAGUUGGUGAGGUGAAGGCUCACCAAGGCGACGACGGGUAGCCGGCCUGAGAGGGUGACCGGCCACACUGGGACUGAGACACGGCCCAGACUCCUACGGGGGGCAGCAGUGGGGAAUCUUGCACAAUGGGCGAAAGCCUGAUGCAGCGACGCCGCGUGAGCGAAGAAGGCCUUCGGGUUGUAAAGCUCUGUCUGGAGGGACGAAGGAAGUGACGGUACCUCCGGAGGAAGCCACGGCUAACUACGUG
Molecule: ribosomal RNA, 477 nt
Filed under: uncultured bacterium
Lineage: Bacteria
Description: bacterial SSU rRNA
Rfam family: Bacterial small subunit ribosomal RNA
Source: RNAcentral